RNAcentral lists this unclassified non-coding RNA (242 nucleotides) under Hevea brasiliensis (rubber tree). Lineage: Eukaryota; Viridiplantae; Streptophyta; Magnoliopsida; Malpighiales; Euphorbiaceae. The record is from RNAcentral.
GCGUCUGCCAACAGAAAGACUACUGUUAGAUUUCAAGAUCUCAAGCAAAGAAGAUAUAAACUUCCACUUAUGAUCGGAAUUUUUCUUUUAGUGCUUCAGCAGGCAACUGGAGUCAAUGGGAUCCUAUUCUAUGCGGGCACUAUUUUUAAAGCUGCUGGGCUUUCGGCGAGUGGGUUAGCCACAUGUGGGCUUGGGGCUAUUCAGGUAGUUGCAACUGGAGUUACAACGUGGUUGCUGGAUAA